RNAcentral lists this ribosomal RNA (462 nucleotides) under uncultured bacterium. RNAcentral's name for it is "bacterial SSU rRNA". It matches the Rfam family "Bacterial small subunit ribosomal RNA", at positions 1 to 507 of the family's 1533-position model. The record is from RNAcentral.
AGUACAGACGAGUUUGAUCAUGGCUCAGAACGAACGCUGGCGGCAUGCCUAACACAUGCAAGUCGAACGAGACCUUCGGGUCUAGUGGCGCACGGGUGCGCAACGCGUGGGAAUCUGCCCUUGGGUUCGGAAUAACUCAGAGAAAUUUGAGCUAAUACCGAAUGAUGUCGCAAGACCAAAGAUUUAUCGCCCAAGGAUGAGCCCGCGUAGGAUUAGCUUGUUGGUGAGGUAAAAAGCUCACCAAGGCGACGAUCCUUAGCUGGUCUGAGAGGAUGAUCAGCCACACUGGGACUGAGACACGGCCCAGACUCCUACGGGAGGCAGCAGUGGGGAAUAUUGGACAAUGGGCGAAAGCCUGAUCCAGCAAUGCCGCGUGAGUGAUGAAGGCCUUAGGGUUGUAAAGCUCUUUUACCAGGGAUGAUAAUGACAGUACCUGGAGAAUAAGCUCCGGCUAACUCCGUG